CACCAAUCAACGCCAGGGAAUUACGAGCUAUGCUUAAAACCCAAAGGACUUGACGGUUUCCCACCCCCCUAGAGGAGCCUGUUCUAUAAUCGAUAACCCCCGCUAUACCUAACCACCCCUCGCUAUCAGUCUGUAUACCUCCGUCGAAAGCUUACCAUAUGAAUGCUUCAGUAAGCCCAAUGAUCCUCAUCAACACGUCAGGUCAAGGUGCAGCUUAAGGAGUGGAAAGUGAUGGGCUACAAUUUCUAAACUAGAACAAACGAAAGACUAGGUGAAACCCUGGUCAUGAAGGCGGAUUUAGUAGUAAAAAGAAAAUAGAGUGUUCUUUUUAACAUGGCUCUGGGACGCGUACACACCGCCCGUC
This 364-nucleotide ribosomal RNA is filed under the name Nidirana lini. RNAcentral's name for it is "partial 12S ribosomal RNA". It matches the Rfam family "Bacterial small subunit ribosomal RNA", at positions 858 to 1398 of the family's 1533-position model. Lineage: Eukaryota; Metazoa; Chordata; Amphibia; Anura; Ranidae. The record is from RNAcentral.